GACGAACGCUGGCGGCGUGCUUAACACAUGCAAGUCGAACGGAAAGGCCCUGCUUUUGUGGGGUGCUCGAGUGGCGAACGGGUGAGUAACACGUGAGUAACCUGCCCUUGACUUUGGGAUAACUUCAGGAAACUGGGGCUAAUACCGGAUAGGAGCUCCUGCUGCAUGGUGGGGGUUGGAAAGUUUCGGCGGUUGGGGAUGGACUCGCGGCUUAUCAGCUUGUUGGUGGGGUAGUGGCUUACCAAGGCUUUGACGGGUAGCCGGCCUGAGAGGGUGACCGGCCACCUUGGGACUGAGCUACGGCACAGACUCCUACGGGAGGCAGCAGUGGGGAAUAUUGCACAAUGGGCGGAAGCCUGAUGCAGCAACGCCGCGUGCGGGAUGACGGCCUUCGGGCUGUAAACCGCUUUCGCCUGUGACGAAGCGUGAGUGACGGUAAUGGGUAAAGAAGCACCGGCUAACUACGUG
RNAcentral lists this ribosomal RNA (468 nucleotides) under uncultured bacterium. RNAcentral's name for it is "partial 16S ribosomal RNA". It matches the Rfam family "Bacterial small subunit ribosomal RNA", at positions 28 to 507 of the family's 1533-position model. The record is from RNAcentral.